This is a non-coding RNA of Peromyscus maniculatus bairdii (prairie deer mouse), 934 nucleotides long. The record is from RefSeq and is a predicted model, not a curated record. Lineage: Eukaryota; Metazoa; Chordata; Mammalia; Rodentia; Cricetidae.
CAUCAGCCUAUCUGGGGGAAGGACACCGGCAUCCAUGUGGCGCCAAGGUCAGCAAUGAAUUCCACUUUAACGAGGAUUAGAGGAUUUCGAACGACUGGGCUCAGAGAACAGGAGAGACCAUGACCUCAAGGUCCUUUUUCAUUGCUUUCUACAGUUAUGUCCAGUCUGACCAGGCUGCAGGUCCUCCCACAGGCUCACAGGGAGCUGUGCUUGCUCAGACGACCCUGCCUACGUAAAUGUAAGUAUUGUGCUUCCGUGGUCACAUUUAAACAGAAGAAGAAUAAACAAAGUGAAAGCUGUGGAAAUCCUGACAUCUCCUGGCUGUUCUGGUCCAGAUUACGAAGCCUGAAGUGAGUCACACUCCUACCUGAAACAGCUUCGUGGACGUUUACCAGAAAGAUAGAGGGCAGAAUUGUCAUCCAAAGAGAGAUCCCGUCUAUCAACUGAUGAGUGGAUAAAUGAAAUGGGAAUAUCCAUAGACUGAAACAUUAUCAGGCAAUAAAAUGAAGUAAAGCCGUGAGACGUGUGAAAGUUGAUUAUUCAAAGAUGAAAUCAUUCUUGUGAUAGCCCAGCAAAAUCAGAGCAUGGAAGUUACGCAACUCAGAAAAUAUUUCUUUGUACUCACAUGCUCCGUGCUUACAUGUAUGCACAGAUUUCUGAAACGAAGCCCGUCUUUAAUGUUCUCCAGAAGUGCAAUAAUUCCCACAGCAUGCUCUAGACAGAGCAGGGAGGGGAACAGCCCCACAUCCCGGAGGAGCUGAGCCAACUUCUGCCUCUGGAUUCCCGGGCAGUUCACUUCCUGUCCAGGCACCAUUUUCAUCUUUGGCUCUAAACGCUUCUUGCCUCACAGUCUUAGAUCAUGCCCGUAGUUUACCAUGGCCGUACAUCCCACUGCAAUUCUUUGUCAUUUGCAAAUAAAUAUCAUUGCCUUUUA